AUUGAACGCUAGCGGGAUGCUUUACACAUGCAAGUCGAACGGCAGCGCGGACUUCGGUCUGGCGGCGAGUGGCGAACGGGUGAGUAAUGUAUCGGAACGUGCCCAGUAGCGGGGGAUAACUACGCGAAAGCGUAGCUAAUACCGCAUACGCCCUACGGGGGAAAGCAGGGGAUCGUAAGACCUUGCACUAUUGGAGCGGGCGAUAUCGGAUUAGCUAGUUGGGGAGGUAACGGCUCACCAAGGCGACGAUCCGUAGCUGGUUUGAGAGGACGACCAGCCACACGGGGACUGAGACACGGCCCAGACUCCUACGGGAGGCAGCAGUGGGGAAUUUUGGACAAUGGGGGCAACCCUGAUCCAGCCAUCCCGCGUGUGCGAUGAAGGCCUUCGGGUUGUAAAGCACUUUUGGCAGGAAAGAAACGUCGCGGGCUAAUACCCCGUGGAACUGACGGUACCUGCAGAAUAAGCACCGGCUAACUACGUG
Molecule: ribosomal RNA, 484 nt
Filed under: uncultured bacterium
Lineage: Bacteria
Description: partial 16S ribosomal RNA
Rfam family: Bacterial small subunit ribosomal RNA
Source: RNAcentral